CCUACGGGAGGCAGCAGUGGGGAAUAUUGGACAAUGGGCGCAAGCCUGAUCCAGCCAUGCCGCGUGAGUGAUGAAGGCCCUAGGGUUGUAAAGCUCUUUCAACGGGGAAGAUAAUGACGGUACCGCAAGAAUAAGCCCCGGCUAACUUCGUGCCAGCAGCCGCGGUAAUACGAAGGGGGCUAGCGUUGCUCGGAAUCACUGGGCGUAAAGGGUGCGUAGGCGGGUCUUUAAGUCAGGGGUGAAAUCCUGGAGCUCAACUCCAGAACUGCCUUUGAUACUGAAGCUUGAGUUCGGGAGAGGUGAGUGGAACUGCGAGUGUAGAGGUGAAAUUCGUAGAUAUUCGCAAGAACACCAGUGGCGAAGGCGGCUCACUGGCCCGAUACUGACGCUGAGGCACGAAAGCGUGGGGAGCAAACAGGAUUAGAUACCCGGGUAGUC
RNAcentral lists this ribosomal RNA (438 nucleotides) under Weissella confusa. Its description in RNAcentral is "bacterial SSU rRNA". It matches the Rfam family "Bacterial small subunit ribosomal RNA", at positions 338 to 795 of the family's 1533-position model. The record is from RNAcentral. Lineage: Bacteria; Bacillati; Bacillota; Bacilli; Lactobacillales; Lactobacillaceae.